AUUGAACGCUGGCGGAAUGCUUUACACAUGCAAGUCGAACGGCAGCACGGGGGCAACCUUGGUGGCGAGUGGCGAACGGGUGAGUAACACAUCGGAACAUGCCCAGUCGUGGGGGAUAACGUAGCGAAAGUUACGCUAAUACCGCAUACGAUCUAAGGAUGAAAGCGGGGGACCGUAAGGCCUCGCGCGAUUGGAGUGGCCGAUGCCAGAUUAGGUAGUUGGUGGGGUAAAGGCUCACCAAGCCAACGAUCUGUAGCUGGUCUGAGAGGACGACCAGCCACACUGGGACUGAGACACGGCCCAGACUCCUACGGGAGGCAGCAGUGGGGAAUUUUGGACAAUGGGCGCAAGCCUGAUCCAGCCAUUCCGCGUGCAGGACGAAGGCCUUCGGGUUGUAAAGCUCUUUUGUCAGGGAAGAAACACCGGCUCUAACACAGUCCGGGAAUGACGGUACCUGAAGAAUAAGCACCGGCUAACUACGUGCCAGCCGCCGCGGUAA
Molecule: ribosomal RNA, 499 nt
Filed under: uncultured bacterium
Lineage: Bacteria
Description: partial 16S ribosomal RNA
Rfam family: Bacterial small subunit ribosomal RNA
Source: RNAcentral